This 1556-nucleotide ribosomal RNA is filed under the name Escherichia coli. Its description in RNAcentral is "bacterial SSU rRNA". It matches the Rfam family "Bacterial small subunit ribosomal RNA". The record is from RNAcentral. Lineage: Bacteria; Pseudomonadati; Pseudomonadota; Gammaproteobacteria; Enterobacterales; Enterobacteriaceae.
UUAAAUUGAAGAGUUUGAUCAUGGCUCAGAUUGAACGCUGGCGGCAGGCCUAACACAUGCAAGUCGAACGGUAACAGGAAGAAGCUUGCUUCUUUGCUGACGAGUGGCGGACGGGUGAGUAAUGUCUGGGAAACUGCCUGAUGGAGGGGGAUAACUACUGGAAACGGUAGCUAAUACCGCAUAACGUCGCAAGACCAAAGAGGGGGACCUUCGGGCCUCUUGCCAUCGGAUGUGCCCAGAUGGGAUUAGCUUGUUGGUGGGGUAACGGCUCACCAAGGCGACGAUCCCUAGCUGGUCUGAGAGGAUGACCAGCCACACUGGAACUGAGACACGGUCCAGACUCCUACGGGAGGCAGCAGUGGGGAAUAUUGCACAAUGGGCGCAAGCCUGAUGCAGCCAUGCCGCGUGUAUGAAGAAGGCCUUCGGGUUGUAAAGUACUUUCAGCGGGGAGGAAGGGAGUAAAGCUAAUACCUUUGCUCAUUGACGUUACCCGCAGAAGAAGCACCGGCUAACUCCGUGCCAGCAGCCGCGGUAAUACGGAGGGUGCAAGCGUUAAUCGGAAUUACUGGGCGUAAAGCGCACGCAGGCGGUUUGUUAAGUCAGAUGUGAAAUCCCCGGGCUCAACCUGGGAACUGCAUCUGAUACUGGCAAGCUUGAGUCUCGUAGAGGGGGGUAGAAUUCCAGGUGUAGCGGUGAAAUGCGUAGAGAUCUGGAGGAAUACCGGUGGCGAAGGCGGCCCCCUGGACGAAGACUGACGCUCAGGUGCGAAAGCGUGGGGAGCAAACAGGAUUAGAUACCCUGGUAGUCCACGCCGUAAACGAUGUCGACUUGGAGGUUGUGCCCUUGAGGCGUGGCUUCCGGAGCUAACGCGUUAAGUCGACCGCCUGGGGAGUACGGCCGCAAGGUUAAAACUCAAAUGAAUUGACGGGGGCCCGCACAAGCGGUGGAGCAUGUGGUUUAAUUCGAUGCAACGCGAAGAACCUUACCUGGUCUUGACAUCCACGGAAGUUUUCAGAGAUGAGAAUGUGCCUUCGGGAACCGUGAGACAGGUGCUGCAUGGCUGUCGUCAGCUCGUGUUGUGAAAUGUUGGGUUAAGUCCCGCAACGAGCGCAACCCUUAUCCUUUGUUGCCAGCGGUCCGGCCGGGAACUCAAAGGAGACUGCCAGUGAUAAACUGGAGGAAGGUGGGGAUGACGUCAAGUCAUCAUGGCCCUUACGACCAGGGCUACACACGUGCUACAAUGGCGCAUACAAAGAGAAGCGACCUCGCGAGAGCAAGCGGACCUCAUAAAGUGCGUCGUAGUCCGGAUUGGAGUCUGCAACUCGACUCCAUGAAGUCGGAAUCGCUAGUAAUCGUGGAUCAGAAUGCCACGGUGAAUACGUUCCCGGGCCUUGUACACACCGCCCGUCACACCAUGGGAGUGGGUUGCAAAAGAAGUAGGUAGCUUAACCUUCGGGAGGGCGCUUACCACUUUGUGAUUCAUGACUGGGGUGAAGUCGUAACAAGGUAACCGUAGGGGAACCUGCGGUUGGAUCACCUCCUUACCUUAAAGAAGC